CCCCCCAACCAAAACCAAUUAAUCACUAUUUAUAACCCCAAACACACAGAAUUUUAAUUAAACAAACCAUUUUUCCCCCUUAGUAUGGGAGACAAAAAAGGGACUACGGCGCAUUAGAGAAAGUACCGCAGGGGAACGCUGAAAGAGAAAUGAAACAACCCAGCAAAGUCUAAAAAAGCAGAGAUCAACUCUA
This 193-nucleotide ribosomal RNA is filed under the name Coreoperca herzi. RNAcentral describes it as "partial large subunit ribosomal RNA". The record is from RNAcentral. Lineage: Eukaryota; Metazoa; Chordata; Actinopteri; Centrarchiformes; Sinipercidae.